Molecule: ribosomal RNA, 255 nt
Filed under: uncultured bacterium
Lineage: Bacteria
Description: partial 16S ribosomal RNA
Rfam family: Bacterial small subunit ribosomal RNA
Source: RNAcentral
CGGACGGGUGAGUAAUGCGUGGGUAACCUGCCCUAUACAGGGGGAUAACAGUUAGAAAUGACUGCUAAUACCGCAUAAGCGCACAGGACCGCAUGGUUCGGUGUGAAAAACUGAGGUGGUAUAGGAUGGACCCGCGUCUGAUUAGCUUGUUGGUGAGGUAACGGCUCACCAAGGCGACGAUCAGUAGCCGGCCUGAGAGGGCGACCGGCCACAUUGGGACUGAGACACGGCCCAAACUCCUACGGAAGGCAGCAG